Long non-coding RNA from Cyprinus carpio carpio, 1306 nucleotides. The record is from Ensembl. Lineage: Eukaryota; Metazoa; Chordata; Actinopteri; Cypriniformes; Cyprinidae.
CUAUUUGAAAGAUGCAAAAAUCAUUACAAGCAACGACAGCGAGAGACUGUUUAGUACUGCAUCGUGUGUCUUCUAUGAAAAGAGGAAGGCGUGAUAGUUGCUGGUUGCUGUAUGAUGACUGAAAGCAUGAAAUGGCCUUAAACAAUUAUUACCCCGGAAAAAGUUCAGAGGUGUUGACGUCCCCGCCCAUUUACUACAGCCAUUAUAAAGAACAAUGAACACCGCUCACCCAAACUGCACGAAGAAUGCUUGGAUAAAUUCUGCACAGAGCUUGGAUAUCGCAACCUGAGCUACCUAAAGGAACUGUGUACUACCUCAGCCCACACCGCAGACGGUGUUUCAGUGGCAUCGGGUUCAAAAUCAUAAAAGCCAUGAUCGUGCUGCUUUUGCAGCACAUCAUUGACAACAAACUGAGGGAGGAGUGCGAGGGUUGUGCAACGGAUCAUCCGAGCCAGCUGCAACAUUCCUGUCUGUUUGAGCCUGCCGCAUACUAUUUCAACUCAUGCUUCAAUGAGCUGAACUGCAAACUGUUCAAGCCCGGUCUUCAGACCAUUAUCGACUUCACCCUAUGCCGCUGCAGUUUAAUGACCAACAUCAAUCUGAGGAUUCAAGGAACUACUGGAGCUACCCUGCAUGAAUUGAGAUGAACCAUUUAUCAUCUCAAAACUGCAAGAAAGAGAAAAGAAGGUUGUUUACAACACCUUAGAUCUCUGGCAAAGCAGUGUGUCUGUCCCUGGACUGUGAGCGCAACAUUAUGGGGUCCAUGUGUAGCGUGAAGAAUUUUUUCAGAGACCUCGUGUUUAUCUCAGGUUAUAAAGAGCAAAUGAUCGAAAUAAUACUUACGGCUAUCGAACAUGUGUGUGAUCCCGAGAAAUAUUAUGAGGGAUAAACGAAACGUAUAAAGAAUCUCAAGAAACAAAUGGAUGUUAUGAGAAGAGUUACGGAUACAUGGGGUACAUUGACUUACGUGUGUUAACAGAUCUGAUCCACCGGCUGUAAUGCUCAGAAAAAUUCUAGAUAAGAUAUCCGCAGCCGGUCAAGGGAUAGGAGUUAGCAAGGUAUUAUGUAUGUGUACAUAUGUAACUGAUGUAUGUGUGAAGCUUGUUUCAAAAAAUGAGAAAAACAAGGUCAGCAAAAUGGUUGAAAUUCUGGUCAACUAUAUACUAGAUCAGGGGUAUAUGUCAUACAAUUUGUAACAACAUUCUAUCUGAACUUUAUUCUUGUCAUUAUGUAACCAAUUUUUUUAUUUUAUUCUUGUAACCAAUUUGAAUUUUAGUCUUGUCAUUGUGUAUCCAAUUUGAAACCC